UACAGAGACUGCAAGCGUUAUUCGGAUUCACUGGGCGUAAAGAGCGUGUAGGCGGUUCGGUAAGUCGGCUGUGAAAGUCCAGGGCUCAACCCUGGGAUGCCGGUGGAUACUGUCGGGCUCGAGUCCGGAAGAGGAGUGUGGAAUUCCUGGUGUAGCGGUGAAAUGCGCAGAUAUCAGGAGGAACACCAAUGGCGAAGGCGGUUCUCUGGGCAUUACCUGACGCUGAGGAGCGAAAGUGUGGGGAGCGAACAGG
RNAcentral lists this ribosomal RNA (253 nucleotides) under uncultured bacterium. RNAcentral describes it as "partial 16S ribosomal RNA". It matches the Rfam family "Bacterial small subunit ribosomal RNA", at positions 524 to 776 of the family's 1533-position model. The record is from RNAcentral.